CCUACGGGUGGCAGCAGUGGGGAAUAUUGGACAAUGGGGGGAACCCUGAUCCAGCGACGCCGCGUGAGUGAAGAAGUAUUUCGGUAUGUACAGCUCUAUCAUCAGGGAAGACAGGAAUGACGGUACCUGACUAAUAAGCCCCGGCUAACUACGUGCCAUCAGCCGCGGUAAUACGUAGGGGGCAAGCGUUAUCCGGAUUUACUGGGGGUAAAGGGAGCGUAGACGGUUACGCAAGUCUGGAGUGAAAGGCGGGGGCCCAACCCCCGGACUGCUUUGGAAACUGUAUAACUGGAGUGCAGGAGAGGUAAGUGGAAUUCCUAGUGUAGCGGUGAAAUGCGUAGAUAUUAGGAGGAACACCAGUGGCGAAGGCGGAUUACUGGACUGUAACUGACGUUGAGGCUCGAAAGCGUGGGGAGCAAACAGGAUUAGAUACCCCUGUAGUC
RNAcentral lists this ribosomal RNA (443 nucleotides) under uncultured bacterium. RNAcentral describes it as "partial 16S ribosomal RNA". It matches the Rfam family "Bacterial small subunit ribosomal RNA", at positions 338 to 795 of the family's 1533-position model. The record is from RNAcentral.